RNAcentral lists this ribosomal RNA (494 nucleotides) under uncultured bacterium. RNAcentral's name for it is "partial 16S ribosomal RNA". It matches the Rfam family "Bacterial small subunit ribosomal RNA", at positions 28 to 507 of the family's 1533-position model. The record is from RNAcentral.
GACGAACGCUGGCGGCGUGCUUAACACAUGCAAGUCGAACGGUUAAGCGCCUUCCUUUUUGGUGGGUGUGGAUGAGUGGCGAACGGGUGAGUAACACGUUAGUAACCUGCCCCCUUCUUCUGGAUAACCGCAUGAAAGUGUGGCUAAUACGGGAUAUUCUGGGUCUGUCGCAUGAUGGGUCUGGGAAAGAUAUUGUUUCGGUGGGGGAUGGGCUCGCGGCCUAUCAGCUUGUUGGUGGGGUGAUGGCCUACCAAGGCGGUGAGGGGUAGCCGGCCUGGGAGGGUGGGCGGUCACACUGGGACUGAGACACGGCGAAGACUCCUACGGGAGGCAGCAGUGGGGAAUAGUGCACAAUGGGCGCAAGCCUGAUGCAGCGACGCCGCGGGGGGGAUGGAGGCCUUCGGGUUGUGAACCUCUUUCGCCAGUGAAGCAGGCCUGCCUAGUUUGUGGGUGGGUUGACGGUAGCUGGAUAAGAAGCGCCGGCUAACUACGUG